GACGAACGCUGGCGGCGUGCUUAACACAUGCAAGUCGAACGGAAAGGCCCUGCUUUUGUGGGGUGCUCGAGUGGCGAACGGGUGAGUAACACGUGAGUAACCUGCCCUUGACUUUGGGAUAACUUCAGGAAACUGGGGCUAAUACCGGAUAGGAGCUCCUGCUGCAUGGUGGGGGUUGGAAAGUUUCGGCGGUUGGGGAUGGACUCGCGGCUUAUCAGCUUGUUGGUGGGGUAGUGGCUUACCAAGGCUUUGACGGGUAGCCGGCCUGAGAGGGUGACCGGCCACAUUGGGACUGAGAUGCGGCCCGGACUCCUACGGGAGGCAGCAGUGGGGAAUAUGGCACAAUGGGCUGAAGCCUGAUGCAGCAACGCCGCGUGCGGGAUGACGGCCUUCGGGUUGUAAACCGCUUUCGCCUGUGACGAAGCGUGAGUGACGGUAAUGGGUAAAGAAGCACCGGCUAACUACGUG
This 468-nucleotide ribosomal RNA is filed under the name uncultured bacterium. RNAcentral's name for it is "partial 16S ribosomal RNA". It matches the Rfam family "Bacterial small subunit ribosomal RNA", at positions 28 to 507 of the family's 1533-position model. The record is from RNAcentral.